GAGUUUGAUCAUGGCUCAGAACGUACGCUGGCGGCACGCCUAACACAUGCAAGUCGAACGAAGUAGCAAUACUUAGUGGCAGACGGGUGAGUAACAUGUAGGUAUCUGCCCUUUGGCCUGGAAUAACACGAGGAAACUUGUGCUAAUACCGGAUAAGUCUUUACGGAGAAAGCUUUAUGCACCAUUGGAUGAGCCUGCACUUGAUUAGUUUGUUGGUGGGGUAAUGGCCUACCAAGACUGUGAUCAAUAGCUGAUUUGAGAGGAUGAUCAGCCACAUUGGGACUGAGACACGGCCCAAACUCCUACGGGAGGCAGCAGUGGGGAAUCUUGCACAAUGGAGGAAACUCUGAUGCAGCGAUGCCGCGUGAGUGAAGAAGGCCCUUGGGUUGUAAAGCUCUUUCGUCGGGGAAGAAAGUGACUGUACCCGAAUAAGAAGGUCCGGCUAACUUCGUGCCAGCAGCCGCGGUAAUACGAAGGGACCUAGCGUAGUUCGGAAUUACUGGGCUUAAAGAGUUCGUAGGUGGUUGAAAAAGUUGGUGGUGAAAUCCCAGAGCUUAACUCUGGAACUGCCAUCAAAACUUUUCAGCUAGAGUAUGAUAGAGGAAAGCAGAAUUUCUAGUGUAGAGGUGAAAUUCGUAGAUAUUAGAAAGAAUACCAAUUGCGAAGGCAGCUUUCUGGAUCAUUACUGACACUGAGGAACGAAAGCAUGGGUAGCGAAGAGGAUUAGAUACCCUCGUAGUCCAUGCCGUAAACGAUGUGUGUUAGACGUUGGAAAUUUAUUUUCAGUGUCGCAGCGAAAGCGAUAAACACACCGCCUGGGGAGUACGACCGCAAGGUUAAAACUCAAAUGAAUUGACGGGGACCCGCACAAGUAGUGGAGCAUGUGGUUUAAUUCGAAGAUACGCGCAGAACCUUACCAACACUUGACAUGUUCGUCGCGACUCUAAGAGAUUAGAGUUUUCGGUUCGGCCGGACGAAACACAGGUGCUGCAUGGCUGUCGUCAGCUCGUGUCGUGAGAUGUUGGGUUAAGUCCCGCAACGAGCGCAACCCUCACUUUUAGUUGCCAUCAUUUAGUUGGGCACUCUGAAAGAACUGCCAGUGAUAAGCUGGAGGAAGGUGGGGAUGACGUCAAGUCCUCAUGGCCCUUACGUGUUGGGCUACACACGUGCUACAAUGGUAUCUACAACAGGAAGCAAGACUGCGAAGUUUAGCAAAUCCUUAAAAGAUACCUCAGUUCGGAUUGCACUCUGCAACUCGAGUGCAUGAAGCUGGAAUUACUAGUAAUCGUGGAUCAGCGUGCCACGGUGAAUGCGU
Molecule: ribosomal RNA, 1315 nt
Filed under: unidentified marine bacterioplankton
Lineage: Bacteria
Description: bacterial SSU rRNA
Rfam family: Bacterial small subunit ribosomal RNA
Source: RNAcentral